UACGGGGGGUGCAAGCGUUGUUCGGAUUUACUGGGCGUAAAGGGCGCGUAGGCGGUAGCACAAGUCAGUUGUGAAAUCUCCGGGCUUAACUCGGAAAGGUCAACUGAUACUGUGCGACUAGAGUGCAGAAGGGGCAACUGGAAUUCUCGGUGUAGCGGUGAAAUGCGUAGAUAUCGAGAGGAACACCUGCGGCGAAGGCGGGUUGCUGGGCUGACACUGACGCUGAGGCGCGAAAGCCAGGGGAGCGAACGGG
This 253-nucleotide ribosomal RNA is filed under the name uncultured bacterium. RNAcentral describes it as "partial 16S ribosomal RNA". It matches the Rfam family "Bacterial small subunit ribosomal RNA", at positions 524 to 776 of the family's 1533-position model. The record is from RNAcentral.